Molecule: ribosomal RNA, 254 nt
Filed under: uncultured bacterium
Lineage: Bacteria
Description: partial 16S ribosomal RNA
Rfam family: Bacterial small subunit ribosomal RNA
Source: RNAcentral
UACGUAGGCAGCGAGCGUUGUUCGGAGUUACUGGGCGUAAAGGGUGUGUAGGCGGUUGUUUAAGUUUGGUGUGAAAUCUCCCGGCUCAACUGGGAGGGUGCGCCGAAUACUGAAUGACUUGGAGUGCGGGAGAGGAGAGUGGAAUUCCUGGUGUAGCGGUGAAAUGCGUAGAUAUCAGGAGGAACACCGGUGGUGUAGACGGCUCCCUGGACCGUAACUGACGCUGAGACACGAAAGCGUGGGUAGCAAACAGG